RNAcentral lists this long non-coding RNA (216 nucleotides) under Elaeis guineensis (African oil palm). RNAcentral's name for it is "long non-coding RNA (EGUI_LNC007248)". Lineage: Eukaryota; Viridiplantae; Streptophyta; Magnoliopsida; Arecales; Arecaceae. The record is from RNAcentral.
AUGGAAAAUACCUAUAUUAUGCUGGUAUUUGAUGCAGGGCUUGUGGGUUCGCAUGGCUCAUGAAAUGCAUUCUUUCCCUAACAUCGUUGUUCAUGUAAUGCAUGCCUCAUAAAAGGAGCCGUUUAAUUGUAAAAUAUUUAUAUCUGCCAUUAUAACCCAUUAUACCAUUAUAUUGGCUAAUAACAACCAGCAUGAUGCAGCUAUCAACUAUGUACA